UUUUGACCUCGGAUCAGGUAGGGAUACCCGCUGAACUUAAGCAUAUCAAUAAGCCGGAGGAAGA
RNAcentral lists this ribosomal RNA (64 nucleotides) under Alternaria radicina. Its description in RNAcentral is "partial 28S ribosomal RNA". Lineage: Eukaryota; Fungi; Ascomycota; Dothideomycetes; Pleosporales; Pleosporaceae. The record is from RNAcentral.